AGCAUAUCAAUAAGCGGAGGAAAAGAAACUAACAAGGAUUCCCCUAGUAACUGCGAGUGAAGCGGGAAAAGCUCAAAUUUAAAAUCUGGCAGUCUUUGGCUGUCCGAGUUGUAAUCUAGAGAAGUAAUGCCCGUGCUGGACCGUAUACAAGUCUCCUGGGAUGGAGCAUCAUAGAGGGUGAGAAUCCCGUCUUUGAUACGGACUACCAGUGCAUUGUGGUAUGCUCUCAACGAGUCGAGUUGUUUGGGAAUGCAGCUCAAAAUGGGUGGUAAAUUCCAUCUAAAGCUAAAUAUUGGCGAGAGACCGAUAGCGAACAAGUACCGUGAGGGAAAGAUGAAAAGAACUUUGGAAAGAGAGUUAAACAGUACGUGAAAUUGCUGAAAGGGAAACGCUUGAAGUCAGUCACGUCUGCUGGGAAUCAGCCUCGCUUCUGCGUGGUGUACUUUCUGGUAUGACGGGUCAGCAUCAGUUUUGACCACUGGAAAAAGGUGUGGGGAAUGUGACAGCUCCGGCUGUGUUAUAGCCUCAUAUUGUAUACAGUGGUUGGGACUGAGGAACGCAGCACGCCGAAAGGCCGGGUCUUUGACCACGUUCGUGCUUAGGAUGCUGGCAUAAUGGCUUUAAGCGACCCGUCUUGAAACACGGACC
RNAcentral lists this ribosomal RNA (648 nucleotides) under Micropsalliota sp. ecv3638. RNAcentral's name for it is "eukaryotic LSU rRNA". It matches the Rfam family "Eukaryotic large subunit ribosomal RNA", at positions 37 to 667 of the family's 3401-position model. Lineage: Eukaryota; Fungi; Basidiomycota; Agaricomycetes; Agaricales; Agaricaceae. The record is from RNAcentral.